RNAcentral lists this ribosomal RNA (279 nucleotides) under uncultured bacterium. RNAcentral describes it as "partial 16S ribosomal RNA". It matches the Rfam family "Bacterial small subunit ribosomal RNA", at positions 506 to 784 of the family's 1533-position model. The record is from RNAcentral.
UGCCAGCAGCCGCGGUAAUACGGGGGGUGCAAGCGUUACUCGGAAUCACUGGGCGUAAAGAGCGUGUAGGCGAGUUUGUAAGUUGGAAGUGAAAUCCUAUGGCUCAACCAUAGAACUGCUUCCAAAACUGCUUACCUAGAAUAUGGGAGAGGUAGAUGGAAUUUCUGGUGUAGGGGUAAAAUCCGUAGAGAUCAGAAGGAAUACCGAUUGCGAAGGCGAUCUACUGGAACAUUAUUGACGCUGAGACGCGAAAGCAUGGGGAGCAAACAGGAUUAGAUA